Molecule: ribosomal RNA, 253 nt
Filed under: uncultured bacterium
Lineage: Bacteria
Description: partial 16S ribosomal RNA
Rfam family: Bacterial small subunit ribosomal RNA
Source: RNAcentral
UACGUGGGUGGCAAGCGUUGUUCGGAAUAACUGGGCGUAAAGGAUGCGUAGGCGGUUAAACAAGUUAUAUGUUAAAUAUAUAGGCUUAACCUGUAGAAAGCAUAUAAAACUGUUUAACUAGAGUGCAGGAGAGGUAAGUGGAAUUCCUAGUGUAGCGGUGAAAUGCGUAGAGAUUAGGAAGAACACCAGUGGCGAAGGCGACUUACUGGACUGUAACUGUCGCUGAGGCAUGAGAGCAUGGGGAGCAAACAGG